AUUCCUGCAAAAGUCCCAGCUCCCAUCCUCUUAAUGAAUUUUAAUUCAUAGGCCUUUAAUUUAUCUCCAUCUCUAGCCAACUCAGGUGUCAGCUGUGCGCAGGGAUGCAUGGAGUCUCAGUUCCAGGGAGCAUUUAGGAAGCUCUCCCCAUUCCAGAUGCUCACUGGAGGAGAACCUUCUUUUUCUAUAAAAGGAAUCUUACUUGUCUGUUAAAAUUCAUUUUCAACUUACUUGUUAAUUUUGUCUGGGUUUUUUUUUUUUUUUCUUCCCUUCUUUCUCCUCAGAUGACUCCAUUGUGUUACCUGCCUGUGUGUCGAUGGGGGCAGUGAAGGAGGAAGGAAUGGGACACUCAGUGAAUGGUUUACCUCUGCUAGCAACUCAAGUUAAACAUUUAACGAUGGAUGGAUGUUGGUCUGAUUUGAAAUACCACUCAGGGGCCAGACAGAACAAUUACGUGAAGUGGCCAAGUGGUCUGCCCAGUCUUCCUUUCUUGGUCUGAUUUAUACGCGGCAUAAGGAUAUACAAAAACAUGCUCUUGGACAGUGGUCAAGGAUGCCAGUGCCAGCGGAGUAGCAAGAUGGGAUGAAGGCCAGAAAUGGACCGAGCAGCUGCUGGAAGUUAUGUGUGCUGUCCCACUGAUUUCAGAAGCCGUAGUUCUAAAUGACAGAUAGAGAAAUGAAAACGAGAAUCAAGUCCAUGCUCAGCUGGAUACUAGAGACAGUCAAAGCCUCCAGGCCGUUCUGCAAUAAAAACUCAGCAAGUUGGAAGGACACAGCCCAAAGCUUUUCAGACAGCCAGGAAGUUCUGCUGACAGCACUAAAAUCCAGGAUCUUCAUAUAGCAUCUGAGGCAGGUGUGUUUAUCCAGCCGAGCGGAAGCCGGAAACGUGUCCUCUGAGGAUGGCCUCUCAGUUUCCUGUGGGCUGAAGACUUAGUGUGUUUUCCUGCUCCCUGACCUUGAACCCUGACUUUCCUUCUGGAUCUGUGAUCAGAUUGGAUUCUUGGGCUUUGUUUGGAUUGUGGGGUCAAGUCCCUCGGGAGCCUUUGUAUUGUUGCACGCCAAGGAUGCGCCCUCUCAGCAGGAGGGGUGGGGGCUGCUUGGUGAACUGUGAUCUAAAGCCAGUGUCUAAAACAGUCAUAUUUCAGCCCCAGAUCAGCAAGCACAAUCCAUACAUUUAUAUGUUCAUAUAUACAUACACUCACAUAUUCAUAUAUACAUACAUUUCUAUAUUCAUACGAAUGCAUUCAUAGCAAAAUAAUGAUUUGCACCAAAAUACACAGAGGCCCAGUGUUUGAGGAUAACAACCCAGCCCUUCUUUCCAGGUAAGUUUUGCAUCCUGCUAAGGAGAUAGAUCUCAUUAUUUUUAUAAAUUUCUGAACUGAUAUAGCCUAGUAGAUGCCCCAAGUUACACUAACAUUAACUGUUCUCAAAACUUCCAUUUUCAAAAUCCCUUGUGCUUACCCCAACACACACCUGGUGCUAGAAAUUAUUGAGCCAGGAGCCUUGUAUAUGAGAGGUAAGUUCUCUGUCACCAAGCUACAUCUCCAGCUCUCAGGUCCAAAUGUGAACUUGUUGACAUGGGCCUCUGAUUGAACAGACACUGGGGAAGGCCAGAGAAGCCACACUCAUGACUACUUCUUAGAUACACUUGGCCAUAUUAGUUCUUUCAGAAUGAUAACAAAAUGCCCAUUGAUUGGGAGCCUCAUAACAACAGAUAUUUAUGUCUUACACUGUUGGAAGCUGGAAAAUCAAAGGUAACAGUUGCUUGAUUUGGUGUUCAGCAAGGCCCAAGUUCUUGAGCUGCCCUCAGAAGGCAGGAGAGGUGAGGAGUUCUCUGAAGUCCCUUCUAGGACCCUUUCAACCCCAACAGCUCCAUUGUCUAACAUCACCAAAUUUUGGGGGAGAUGGGAGUAUUCCAGACAUUUUGAUUACAGCACACCAAAAUUCAUGACAUUCCCAGGAUCUCCAAACAGUAAUUAUAAUAGAAAUAGGAACAAAAUGACUAGUCAAGAUGAUGUCACACUCCCCUGGAGUGGGUCCCUGAACCCAGUUUGACUGGCACCUUUAGAACAAUAAAUAGGAAAAGCUAGUCAAAACCAGAGACACAGGGUGGAAUGUCAUACAAAGACAUGGUUGGAGUGAAGUAUUUAAACCAAGGUGUGCUAAUGAUUACUGGCAAGGACACAAAUAAAGAAAAGGGAUUGAGACCUCUUGAGAGUCUUUUGAGAUAGGCUACCCCACUGAUGCCUUGAUUUCAGACUUUUGGCCUCUAGCACCAUUUAAGUAUAAAUUCCUUUUAGGUCUUAAGCACCAGUCAAGAACUGUUCAAUAGGUCAGUGCUAGGAAAGGCACAAGGCAGUCUGACCCAACGACUCUAAAACCACUUUGGAGAACCACUGAUCAAAGUUCAUGGCCCACCUCCCUCUUUGGCUUCCAUUCUUUUCUUAUCAUGCCCAUGACAAAGUCUUCCCUGGAAUAGUUCUUAUUGUGUCUAUUUGCAUCUAUCCCGCACCUGAUUAUUUCCCUAAGAAGAAUUUUCACUAGCUCUUGGUUUUUAAACAAUUUUUUGUUUUUUA
Long non-coding RNA from Mus musculus (house mouse), 2575 nucleotides. RefSeq annotates it as predicted gene, 34388. The transcript is spliced from 4 exons. Lineage: Eukaryota; Metazoa; Chordata; Mammalia; Rodentia; Muridae. The record is from RefSeq and is a predicted model, not a curated record.